UUCAUGAGAGAAGCAAACCUCGUGCG
RNAcentral lists this non-coding RNA (26 nucleotides) under Homo sapiens (human). The record is from RNAcentral. Lineage: Eukaryota; Metazoa; Chordata; Mammalia; Primates; Hominidae.